This is a non-coding RNA of Salvelinus fontinalis (brook trout), 811 nucleotides long. NCBI's taxonomy places the organism in Eukaryota, Metazoa, Chordata, Actinopteri, Salmoniformes, Salmonidae. The record is from the annotation of a RefSeq genome assembly.
CCUGUGAGUUUCAGACUGCAGGACUGAGAUCUGUCCUUCAACACAACAGAAACCACGACAACCAUGACUCUGAUCACCAUCUUCAUCUGGACACUGGUCUGCUGCUGCCUCAAAGGAUCCAGAGGUCAGGUGACUGUGACUCAGCCUCCUGUAGUGACAUUUUCUCCGGGAGACCCCGUCACUCUGACCUGUACAACCAACCCUAAAGUGUACAAAUGGAGUAAUGGAAAUGAGUGUGCACUCUGGUAUCAACAGAGACCUGGAGAAGCUCCUAAACUCUUGAUAGAAUACGUAAAGACACGGCUAGAUGGGAUUCCUGCCAGAUUCAGUGGCAGUGGGUCUGAGAGUGACUUCACUCUGACCAUCAGUGGAGUCCAGGCUGAAGAUGCAGCAGUUUACUACUGUCAGAGUGACCACAGUGGUAAUGUGAUCACACAGUGAUUUAGAGACAUACAAAAACCUCCUGCACAAAAUGACACACAUCACUGGUCCUCUGAACACAGAACUAAUGGUCUUGUUAUAUGACAUCACCAAGUAUAACCACUUUACUAACUCACGGAAAUAAUGGUUACAAACUACUGUAGUUUCUUACAGUUUUUUUCAAUCACUUUGGCACUAAUUUCAGAACCUUGUGGUCAUUUUCCAGAACUCCAGACACAAAACUCAAAACGGUCAUCACUUGUAACACAGGCUGUCCAAUGUUCAAAACAUUGCAUUGUGCAUUCAUAUCUUUAAAGAAACCUUGCACUUGCAGAAUCAUUGGUUCAAAUAACUCAUUUAUCAUGAAAUACCAUAGGACCAUUCAUUUAGA